CUGCGGAGGGAUCAUUACAGAGUUACUAAACUCCCAAACCCAUGUGAACUUACCUAUGUUGCCUCGGCGGUUACCUACCCUGUAGCUACCCUGUAGUUACCCGGUAGCGGCCGCCGGUGGACCUCCAAACUCUUGUUUUAAUAUGGUUAUUCUGAGUUAUUACUAUAAUAAGUCAAAACUUUCAACAACGGAUCUCUUGGUUCUGGCAUCGAUGAAGAACGCAGCGAAAUGCGAUAAGUAAUGUGAAUUGCAGAAUUCAGUGAAUCAUCGAAUCUUUGAACGCACAUUGCGCCCAUUAGUAUUCUAGUGGGCAUGCCUGUUCGAGCGUCAUUACGACCCUUAAGCCUCGGUUGCUUGGCGUUGGGGGCUCGCCGUAACUGGCGACCCCUUAAAGACAUUGGCGGAGUCGAGAUGGAACUCUGAGCGUAGUAAAUCUUUUCUCGCUUUCUGAAGUCCUCACGACCUCGGCCGUAAA
RNAcentral lists this ribosomal RNA (475 nucleotides) under Circinotrichum circinatum. RNAcentral describes it as "eukaryotic LSU rRNA". The stretch from base 177 to 330 matches the Rfam family "5.8S ribosomal RNA". Lineage: Eukaryota; Fungi; Ascomycota; Sordariomycetes; Xylariales; Coniocessiaceae. The record is from RNAcentral.